GUUCGACCCCCCGAAACUAGGCGAGCUACUUUUAAACAGCCUCAUGGGGCCAACCCGUCUCCGUAGUAAAGGAGUGGGAAGAUUUAAAAGUAGAGGUGACACACCUAUCGAGCUUAGAGAUAGCUGGUUAUUUAGGAAACGGAUUUAAGUCCACCUUUAAGUUUUUUCCUGUACUUCAAACACCCAAUAGACUUAAAAGCCAUUCAAAUAAGGUACAGCCUAUUUGAAUAGGGAGACAGCCCCCGAUACAGGGUAACACUUACCUUUAUGUGACCAGGUGGGCCUAAAAGCAGCCAACCUCCAAAAAGCGUCCAAGCUUCACCAUUAAACCGUUAAUAAUUCCACAAUUAGCUUUUAACCCGCAACCACUACUAAAUAACCCCAUAUACAUUAUGCGGAAUAUCAUGCUAGAACUAGUAACAAGAAUAAGAACUUCUCCUAAGUAUAAGCGUAAGCCAAAAUGAACUACUCAUUGGCACUUACCGCCACUAA
Molecule: ribosomal RNA, 492 nt
Filed under: Anodonthyla montana (mountain climbing frog)
Lineage: Eukaryota; Metazoa; Chordata; Amphibia; Anura; Microhylidae
Description: partial 16S ribosomal RNA
Rfam family: Bacterial large subunit ribosomal RNA (bases 1-409)
Source: RNAcentral